Molecule: long non-coding RNA, 252 nt
Filed under: Astyanax mexicanus (Mexican tetra)
Lineage: Eukaryota; Metazoa; Chordata; Actinopteri; Characiformes; Acestrorhamphidae
Description: lncRNA (ENSAMXG00005011576.1)
Source: RNAcentral
UGAACAUACAUGAUUGUGAACAGCACUGUGACGUUCCCUGCAGUGCACGGUCGCAAGCCAAUCUGGGCGAUUCUAUGGCAGUUUCUCAAUACAAAGUACACAUGUUUUGAUGACAUCACCCUCCCAGGGCACGGAAAGCAUUGUUCCGCAAACAUAGAUGCACAUUUUCCCAUAAGCCCUAUCCGGAAGUGUUGUGGAUUUUUCCGAGCCUGUGGGCCACAGUUUUUCUACAUGAUGGACUAAAAAGUUUGU